This 497-nucleotide ribosomal RNA is filed under the name uncultured bacterium. RNAcentral describes it as "partial 16S ribosomal RNA". It matches the Rfam family "Bacterial small subunit ribosomal RNA", at positions 28 to 507 of the family's 1533-position model. The record is from RNAcentral.
GAUGAACGCUGGCGGCGUGCCUAAUACAUGCAAGUCGAGCGAACAGACGAGGAGCUUGCUCCUCUGACGUUAGCGGAGGACGGGUGAGUAACACGUGGAUAACCUACCUAUAAGACUGGGAUAACUUCGGGAAACCGGCGCUAAUACCGGAUAAUCUAUUGAACCGCAUGGUUCGAUAGUGAGAGACGGUUUUGCUGUCACUUAUAGCUGGAUCCGCGCCGCAUUAGCUGGUUGGUAAGGUAACGGCUUACCAAGGCGACGAUGCGUAGCCGACGUGAGAGGGUGAUCGGCCACACUGGAACUGAGACACGGUCCAGACUCCUACGGGAGGCAGCAGUAGGGAAUCUGCCGCAAUGGGCGAAAGCCUGACGGAGCAACGCCGCGCGAGUGAUGAAGGUCUUCGGAUCGUAAAACUCUGUUAUUAGGGAAGAACAAAUGUGUAAGUAACUAUGCACGUCUUGACGGUACCGAAUCAGAAAGCCACGGCUAACUACGUG